Molecule: long non-coding RNA, 4742 nt
Organism: Gadus chalcogrammus (walleye pollock)
Lineage: Eukaryota; Metazoa; Chordata; Actinopteri; Gadiformes; Gadidae
Exons: 7
Source: RefSeq, a predicted model, not a curated record
UGGUUGCAUCUGGUGCGUUUCACUUAAGAGGGAACCGGACGAUCACAGAAUCCAGAACGCGUGUGUACUGUUUCGAGGUCCGUUGUGACUUAUUUGACAUCUCUUCCUGGUUCACAGGUUAAAGACUUUUUGAAGUAAAAAGGAGCAUCUCAUCUGAACCUGAUGACUAUCAUGGAUAUUUAACUGCAGUUCUGUGAGUAUCCCAACUUAACCAUGAAGAUGAACUGCAAACUGUAAGUCAUAAGUUUCUCAUUACUCUUGGGCACAUUGAUGUAUUUUGGCUUCCUGGUGAGUUAACCCGUUACCUGAAGGUUGAUCUGAGUAGUAAGGAUGUUUUAUUGGUUCAUGGGUUACUUUGGCGUUUGGUUUGGUUUAUGUUGGUUUUAAUGAUUUGUUAAAAUCGUUACAGGCUCCAAGUUAUUGUUGUAAGCUGGAGUAAUGGGUUGGGCUCUGUUAUCUUCAGUCUUCUUUCCAGCUACUUUCCUGAGCUCUGCAUCUUCAUCAAAUGAGUGUUGCUUUACUGAUGAGGCUGUGUUCUGAGUGAGCAGGGGUGCAUACUGGGAUACAGAGCUGUCUCAAGUCUACAGGUCUGUAGGCACGCCCCCUCAGGGGAAACCAAGUGUUUGAGAAACCGUCGUGACGUCAGUUACAUGGACUGGAAUGUUCUUAAAGAUGGAGACAGGGAUUCAGAAGGAGAAACACCAGGGGGGAUGAGGGGGCUCUUCAUCUCAACGACUAAAACACAACUUCAGUCUGACGCAGAGAACCAUGGAACACAUUCAACAGUCCCCUCCAGGCAUCGUGACUCCUCAGGAACAAUUUCAUUUCCAAGAAGAUCUUAUUUGGGGCCAUCCCAUGAUGGAUCCUGCUCCUCAAGAGCCACCCCCCUCCACUGGGUGGUCUUCUGAACAGAUGACCUCCUUCCUGUCCUCAGGCUGACUAAAGCUGCACCGUUUGCAUCUGUGAAGGCCCCUCAUUCAGGAAACCACUGGACUACAAGGACAUGACUUCAGAGAUGUUGAAUCAACCUGGGACACAUUUUGGAGACGCCAAGCAUAAUCCAUCACCAAUGUGGGACGCCACUGAAGAAUGUUGUACAUAAUUUACGUCUCUGGAGACAUUGGUUGUUCUGUUCUGGGUGCCCUGGCAGGAGAGCAGGGGGUGUAUGUUGGGAUGAUAUUUGGCAUGAGGUUUUUACCCUGCAUGAUUGUUUGGUCUUUUGUGUGUGUGUGUGUGUGUGUGUGUGUGUGUGUGUGUGUGUGUGUGUGUGUGUGUGUGUGUGUGUGUGUGUGUGUGUGUGUGUGUGUGUGUGUGUGUGUGUGUGUGUGUGUGUGUGUGUGUGUGUGUGUCAUGAGAUGGAUGAUUUUUGAGCAUCACUAGGGUUAUACUGUGUGUGUGUCUCCCACACACACCUGGCAUGGGGUUCUACGCAUGUUUGGUUCCACCUGGCAUGGGGUUCUACGUGCGUGUCCUGGGUUCUAUGUCUGUGCGUCCUGCUUGCUUUGACAGUGAUAAUGUUCAUACGGGCCGUCUGUGUGGUUGGCUUGGGAUAUUGGACUGGUCAACUAAAUCAUACCUGACGGACGGCCACAUGUUUACUUGAGGCCUCCAGUAGACAUGAAGAGCCCUGAGUGACGCUCCGGAGCGAGAUUAUCCAAAUCAAGUGUAACAGGAUGCAAGUGGCAUGUUCAGAUCAGUGACUUCAAACUAGGACUGCACCAAUCAGGAUCAAUGGAGGAUGGACACCUAAAGGCAUUCCACAAGGAGUCUGAAGUUGGAAAGGAGGGACCUAAAUGGGUAUUCAAGAUGACCUUCAGACCUGUGAUGAGACGGCUCUUCCUACCUGGCUGGAUUGAUGGAGAGCCCUGUGGAUCUUGUCUUGCUCUCAGUUGCACGUCUUCUCAGGCUGUACUGUAUUUGUUUCGGACAGGACUAGCUGAACUAUUGGUUCCCUUAAAUCAGAACCAAUCUGGGAACUCCAACUAGUGCGCACUUCGAGCUCAAGGUGUAAAGAGGAGAAUGUUUCAAAGUGUUCCAUGGUACUCUGAUGAAGACCGUUGUUGUGUUCCACUGGCUGAGAGGAAGAACCCUCACAUCUUCCUCUUGGCCUUUCUCCUCUGAGAAUCCUGGCACCAUCUUGAAGGAUAUUCCAGCUCAUGUAACUGAUGUCACGACAGAUUCUCAAACACUUGGUUUCUCCUGAGGGGCGUGUCUAUAGAACUGAAGACUUCAGACAGCACUGUAUCCCAGCAUGCAUCUCUGCUCACUCAGACCACAGCCCCAUGAGUAGGAUGCAACACUCUAGUGAUGGAGAUGUAGAGUUUUAUAAGUAACGAGGGAGCAGACAAAGGUGAUUAACACAAUGGCAUGUCAAGUCUGUAAAUCUUUAAACCAUGAAGAUCGGUUGGAUAGUUCAGGAAUUGGGCUAUUUUUAUUAUAGGCAGUCCUUUCACUCAGAUUGCCCACUUCUCACUGGACCUGUACGUGUGUGUGCUGGCUGGCAUGAUUUGCUGUUGGUGAUGAGGCGGUCAGGGUGACGUUGCAGGGCUAUGGUCGGCUCUCUGUGAGCUCAACGUUUAGAUUUUCUUUUUAUGGUUUGUACCCUGAAUAAUCUAGAUAAUUGUAAAAUGUAGACACGGUUUUGUAUUGAAUGAUUUUAGGUUUAAAGUUGUUGUGGGACGUACAUGCUAGUUUGGUUCUUCGUACGGUUUUGAGUGAUAUAACUUGUACACACUGGGUGCAUAAUCUAAAGGUACACUGAAUAGUAGUAAUGUCCAACAGCAACAAACGGAUCACAUCAAGGUAAGUCUGUUGGCUGUGUUUUUAAUGAAGACCAUCGCUGGACUUCAGGAUCUUCCUCCGUUCAGCUCAAGGUGAGGCGCUGGUUAUGUUUUUUCUUUGGUUGGUUCCGGCCGGAAUGUUCGGAUUCCAGUCGGACGGUUUGUGCUUCCCGCCGUGGAAGGUUCUGAGUGCGGUCACUUGAUUUAGUCUCUCUUAGCAUAGAACGUUGUAGUCUUGGCAACCAUAAGAAACCACCUGGCAGUUAGUUGGACGGGAGUCCCCUGAGGGAAUCUGGCGGAACUGGAUUGUAUUUGCGUAACCUCGAGCCGUUGCCAACGUAAACUAUUUUUCAGUCGUUUCCAUUGGGAAUUGUUGCCCCUUAUCUUAAACAACUUAAGUUUGAUAUUAAAUACAUACUGACACGUACGUCGUACAAUAUGUUGAUAAUUUCCGAUGGUUGCUUGCGCCGUACUUUUAACCACGUUGACGUGACGGGACUCUCGCCGCGUACAAAACGGCGUUCUACUUGCGGGCCCAUUUUUGACAUCAGUGAAGGCUGAAAAUCAUUUCAAGGUGGAAGACAAUUUGACAUUUCUUCAACGGAACCCAGCACCUGAAUAUGGCGAGUAAUAUAUUUGAUUUAAUAUCGAUACUGCUUGGUGUUCUUUGUUACUUCAGCUUUUGUACGUUCUAAAUAUCUGCUGUCAUUAAUUGCCACGGAAGUUAAACCCUACCCAAUGGAAUGACGUUAAACAACGACUUUGGUGCAGAGUUACCAACUGGAUAAUAUCAAAGCUAAAAUAAUGGCCGUCCUUCCCACGUGUUACUGUAGAAGAUACUCUAGAACUGUACAAGGUUAAGAAGGUAACAUAUAGUUUGUCGCCAAGGUGUCUGCCUCCUCACCCAGAGCCAGACCUCCACCUCCUCACCCAGAGCCACACCUCCACCUCCUGUCAGAAGUCCUCCAGAACAGCUGAAAGGCGAGGCUGAGAGGCUGGGGACCGGAGGCUUGUGGUGCCAGGAUGGACCGGAGACUGAGGCUGGAGACCAGGGGCCUGCAGCACCGGACCAGAGGGUAACCAUCACCAAGCUCAUCUGAAACACUAAAAUCCACGACCAGGAAUCCAUGGCUGAAGGAGCUGAUGGAGUCGUGCUGAAUGAGCUGGUGGAGUAGCUGGUGGAGGCCCUGCCUGGUGGAGGAGCUGAUAGAGGCCCUGCUGGUGGAGGAGCUGAUGGAGGCCCUGCCUGGUGGAGGAGCUGGUGGAGGCCCUGCCUGGUGAAGGACGUCUGUCGUGGGACCAGGACUCUGUCUGAGCAGAGCUGCUGGAGGAGCUGAGACGCUGGAGGACGACAUCACUCUACCAACCAGGAUCCUCAGACGUUUGUAACCAGACCAGGAAUCUGGAGGACUGAUGGAGAAGCCGUACACCUGGAAGGCAAAUCCUGAGGACAACUAGGACUCUACCAUCAAGGAUUCCUCACACACCUAAGCUGAACCCGCCCUGAUCCUGACAUCCUGCUGGUCCCGUCUCCUCAGUUCAUCUGCGCCUCGUCCUCUAGAAGACCUGCUGAGCUCAGCAGUCUGAGGCUGAUGGAUCAAUGACCUCCAGUGGGAGUGAUCUUCUUGACCCCACAUGUAACCGUGUGCUUCCACACGCCUUUCUCUCACGUCUGUCACUAACCUCACUACUUCCUCUUCUUCUUCCUUCUCUGUGGUUCGAACCUUUACACUGGAGGCGCGUCUCCAUGCCCUCAGAGGGUUCAGCGUUAGGGUUGAGAGUCAGGGUUUAGAGUCAGGGACAGAGCUGGUCAGGGAGGACUGCUUUUACACAAACCUCUUCACUUGCUUUCAGAAUUGUGGUGACAUUUUGAAAAGAUUCAUUUGGGAAAAUGUUUUCCUCUGCUUUCCUUUACAAAAUUGUAUCAAACUUCUGUCAAGUGUUUUUGUUUAUAUAUUAAAA